CUUGACGACCAUAGAGCGCUGGAACCACCUGACCCCAUCCCGAACUCAGCAGUGAAACAGCGCAUCGCCGAUGGUAGUGUGGGGUAUCCCCAUGUGAGAGUAGGUCAUCGUCAAGC
Molecule: ribosomal RNA, 116 nt
Filed under: Natronospirillum operosum
Lineage: Bacteria; Pseudomonadati; Pseudomonadota; Gammaproteobacteria; Oceanospirillales; Natronospirillaceae
Source: RNAcentral